Molecule: small RNA, 278 nt
Filed under: Pseudomonas lactis
Lineage: Bacteria; Pseudomonadati; Pseudomonadota; Gammaproteobacteria; Pseudomonadales; Pseudomonadaceae
Description: 5' ureB small RNA
Rfam family: 5' ureB small RNA
Source: RNAcentral
UCGAUCUGCUGUGGGCAAAUGAAAUGCACAUGGGAGUCGAUGCCGCCGGCGGUGAGGAUCAUGCCUUCCCCGGCAAUCACUUCGGUGCUGGCGCCGAUGGCCAUGGUCACGCCGGGCUGGAUGUCCGGGUUGCCGGCUUUGCCAAUCGCGUGGAUGCGGCCAUUCUUCAAGCCGACGUCGGCCUUGACGAUGCCCCAGUGGUCGAUGAUCAAUGCAUUGGUGAUCAGCGUGUCGACCACUUCAUGGGCGAGCAAUUGGCUCUGGCCCUGGCCGUCGCG